UACGUAGGGGGCAAGCGUUUGUCCGGAAUCAUUGGGCGUAAAGAGCGUGUAGGCGGCCAGAUAAGUCCGCUGUGAAAUCUCGAGGCUCAACUUCGAGCUGUCGGUGGAAACUGUCUGGCUAGAGUCCGGAAGAGGAGAAUGGAAUUCCUGGUGUAGCGGUGAAAUGCGCAGAUAUCAGGAAGAACACCAGUGGCGAAGGCGGCUCACUGGCCCGUAACUGACGCUGAGGCACGAAAGCGUGGGGAGCAAACAGG
This 254-nucleotide ribosomal RNA is filed under the name uncultured bacterium. RNAcentral describes it as "partial 16S ribosomal RNA". It matches the Rfam family "Bacterial small subunit ribosomal RNA", at positions 524 to 776 of the family's 1533-position model. The record is from RNAcentral.